UAAGCAUAUCAAUAAGCGGAGGAAAAGAAACCAACAGGGAUUGCCCUAGUAACGGCGAGUGAAGCGGCAACAGCUCAAAUUUGAAAUCUGGCUCUUUCAGAGUCCGAGUUGUAAUUUGCAGAGGGCGCUUUGGCGUUGGCAGCGGUCCAAGUUCCUUGGAACAGGACGUCACAGAGGGUGAGAAUCCCGUACGUGGUCGCUGGCCUUCGCCGUGUAAAGCCCCUUCGACGAGUCGAGUUGUUUGGGAAUGCAGCUCUAAAUGGGAGGUAAAUUUCUUCUAAAGCUAAAUACUGGCCAGAGACCGAUAGCGCACAAGUAGAGUGAUCGAAAGAUGAAAAGCACUUUGGAAAGAGAGUCAAAUAGCACGUGAAAUUGUUGAAAGGGAAGCGCUUGCAGCCAGACUUGCCUGUAGUUGCUCAUCCGGGCUUUUGCCCGGUGCACUCUUCUGCGGGCAGGCCAGCAUCAGUUUGGGCGGUUGGAUAAAGGUCUCUGUCAUGUACCUCCUUUCGGGGAGGCCUUAUAGGGGAGACGACAUGCAACCAGCCUGGACUGAGGUCCGCGCAUUUGCUAGGAUGCUGGCGUAAUGGCUGUAAGCGGCCCGUCUUGAAACACGGACCAAGGAGUCUAACAUCUAUGCGAGUGUUUGGGUGUCAAGCCCGAGCGCGCAAUGAAAGUGAACGGAGGUGGGAACCCUUAAGGGUGCACCAUCGACCGAUCCUGAAGUCUUCGGAUGGAUUUGAGUAAGAGCAUGGCUGUUGGGACCCGAAAGAUGGUGAACUAUGCUUGAAUAGGGUGAAGCCAGAGGAAACUCUGGUGGAGGCUCGCAGCGGUUCUGACGUGCAAAUCGAUCGUCAAAUUUGGGCAUA
Molecule: ribosomal RNA, 866 nt
Filed under: Sclerenchymomyces clematidis
Lineage: Eukaryota; Fungi; Ascomycota; Dothideomycetes; Pleosporales; Leptosphaeriaceae
Description: partial large subunit ribosomal RNA
Rfam family: Eukaryotic large subunit ribosomal RNA
Source: RNAcentral